RNAcentral lists this long non-coding RNA (778 nucleotides) under Zea mays. RNAcentral describes it as "drought-responsive long non-coding RNA". The record is from RNAcentral. Lineage: Eukaryota; Viridiplantae; Streptophyta; Magnoliopsida; Poales; Poaceae.
UUGGCCAUUUGAUGAUUUGGGGUCAUCAUAUUAAAAAUUUCUCUUAACGCGUUUCUGAUUUUUUUUACCUACAAUGGUAAACCCGAUUUCAUUACCAAGGCAACAAAAUUACAGGGUCACAGUUCAAGUUCAUAAGCAAAAAAAAAGCAGCCAUUCCCCGAACAAUCAUAUAUUUCUGAUCACCCCCGCAAAAAAAAAAAACAAUAAAAGCUUCCACAGAGAAGGCAAGCCAUAAAUUCUAGGCUUAUGAUACACCCUUGGCCUAGUUCACAGCACUUGUUAAUGGAUUUCAGUUUGGUUCAGUGUACAGCCUGGUUGUUAGAAUUUUUCACCAGUUUGUGAUCUACUGAUCCUUUUCAUGCUCCAACUGACCAUUCUUCUUUGUCUGUUGUGAAUUUUCAGUGGCCAAAUCAUUUCCUUGGCCAUAUGGUUCAUAAACCACAAACCUUUGGCGGAGACAGGGCCUUGAGUUCUGGUGGAGAAAAUGCCGGUUGUGCAGUUACACCGGGCUAUCAGAAGCAACCUACCGUAAACUUCAUCCGUGUACAGUAAAAAGAGGCACCUCCGCUAGUAUAUAUAGCGUAAAACCAGCGGAGAUUAGUCGUGCGGUAUACUGAGAGAUGUGUUCCAUUAAUUAAUUUAUACCCUGAAUCGUGUAUCCUUGGUUUUAUAUUGGUUGCACAUUGUUGGAACUUGCUCUCUGCUGCAAGUGGGCCAACGGGGGUGAACAAUGGCGACAACAGGGUUACGUGCACGGGGGCAAUAGCUCUGUUGAUCU